GACGAACGCUGGCGGCGUGCUUAACACAUGCAAGUCGAACGGAAAGGCCCCUUUGGGGGUUCUCGAGUGGCGCACGGGUGAGUAACACGUGAGUAACCUGCCCUGGACUUCGGGAUAACUUCAGGAAACUGGGGCUAAUACCGGAUAGGAAUCCUUGCUGCAUGGUGGGGGUUGGUAAGCUUCGGCGGUUUUGGAUGGACUCGCGGCUUAUCAGCUUGUUGGUGGGGUAGUGGCUUACCAAGGCUUUGACGGGUAGCCGGCCUGAGAGGGCGACCGGCCACAUUGGGACUUGGGGACGGCCCCGGCUCCUACGGGAGGCAGCAGGGGGGAAGAUUGCACAAUGGGCGGAAGCCUGAUGCAGCAACGCCGCGUGCGGGAUGACGGCCUUCGGGUUGUAAACCGGCUUCAGCAGGGGCGAAGCUUGUGGUGACGGUACCUGCAGAAGAAGCACCGGCUAACUACGUG
Molecule: ribosomal RNA, 465 nt
Filed under: uncultured bacterium
Lineage: Bacteria
Description: partial 16S ribosomal RNA
Rfam family: Bacterial small subunit ribosomal RNA
Source: RNAcentral